RNAcentral lists this long non-coding RNA (326 nucleotides) under Lathyrus oleraceus (garden pea). RNAcentral describes it as "Pisum sativum (pea) long non-coding RNA (PSAT_LNC004597)". The record is from RNAcentral. Lineage: Eukaryota; Viridiplantae; Streptophyta; Magnoliopsida; Fabales; Fabaceae.
GGGGCUUGGGUACGGUGGGAUAAACAAAAAAAUUGGAUAACAAAGGGUUUUGAACUCGGUAGUCAUGUUGUGUGAUUUUUCUUUCUCUUUUUUCUCGUGCAUCACGUAUACUCUGGGGGUUAAUUUCACUCUUUUGACUCUUUUUCUACUCAAAUUUUCCGAGCAUUUUAUAUGUGUUAGAGUCUUAAGUCUCGGCAAGUGCAUUUUUCUCUUUUGUUUUUCUUUUCUCUUUUUUUUCUUUUUUUUUUCUUUUAAAGAAAAUACAUACUAUUUUUCUUUUUGUAUGAUCUCUUAUUAUGCAUUUGCCUUCUCUUUCAAGAUUUCCA